GAUAGUUGCAAGUUCGACAU
This 20-nucleotide non-coding RNA is filed under the name Arabidopsis thaliana (thale cress). Lineage: Eukaryota; Viridiplantae; Streptophyta; Magnoliopsida; Brassicales; Brassicaceae. The record is from RNAcentral.